This 292-nucleotide ribosomal RNA is filed under the name uncultured prokaryote. RNAcentral describes it as "partial 16S ribosomal RNA". It matches the Rfam family "Bacterial small subunit ribosomal RNA", at positions 505 to 796 of the family's 1533-position model. The record is from RNAcentral.
GUGCCAGCCGCCGCGGUAAUACGUAGGUGGCAAGCGUUAUCCGGAAUUAUUGGGCGUAAAGCGCGCGUAGGCGGCAAGAUUAGUCUGAUGUGAAAGCCCCCGGCUCAACCGGGGAGGGUCAUUGGAAACUGUCUUGCUUGAGUGCAGAAGAGGAGAGUGGAAUUCCAUGUGUAGCGGUGAAAUGCGCAGAGAUAUGGAGGAACACCAGUGGCGAAGGCGGCUCUCUGGUCUGCAACUGACGCUGAUGUGCGAAAGCGUGGGGAUCAAACAGGAUUAGAAACCCCUGUAGUCC